GCCUUCUGGAGGGACCUUGGUCUCCUUCCUGUGCCACCUCUUGUCUGAGCUGAGGCCUCCUCCCACAUGGAGAAAGGAGCUCUAAAAAUCAAUGGUCAACCUUCUUCUUCAAGCCUUGUCGAUCCUUGCUAAGAGAGGGUGUGAGACAUUCCCUCCUACAAGUCAUGACUUAGGUGAACCACAGGAUCAUCUUUUCAUGAUGGCUUUAAAAAAGGAAGGCUUUACCUUCCUUUGCUUCAGCCUUUCAGUGAUCCUUUGAGAUCCCAUCUGUGUUUGUGACCAUUCCUGAGCCCAAAGCUGGAAUUUCUAAAGCGCUACCAGCAGCAACCCCAAGCAAAAUCAUGGAUGUCUGACGGCAGAAGGAAGCACUGUGUGCUCACAGAGUGGAGAACUGCAUGUGCAGAUUCAUUAUUGUAUCUCUAUUGUGAAAUCCCCUGCAAAUAGAAUAGAUAACAUCACCUUGUCAAAACUGCUGGUCUGC
Molecule: non-coding RNA, 481 nt
Organism: Lonchura striata (white-rumped munia)
Lineage: Eukaryota; Metazoa; Chordata; Aves; Passeriformes; Estrildidae
Source: RefSeq, a predicted model, not a curated record